RNAcentral lists this ribosomal RNA (369 nucleotides) under Triticum aestivum (bread wheat). RNAcentral describes it as "partial small subunit ribosomal RNA". Lineage: Eukaryota; Viridiplantae; Streptophyta; Magnoliopsida; Poales; Poaceae. The record is from RNAcentral.
AUGAUUUGCAGAUCUUACGGUGAUGCAAUGGGGAUGAUCACUACUGGAAUUCUCGGGCCCCUUAAGUUUGAUAAGUCUCUUAGCCAGGGAACCAUCGAACAGCUGAGGAACCUAGGAACUGGAGGUCUGGACAGUAUCUUUUCAACUAGCAGGCCCAGCAGGCAGAACAGCUUUGGCAGCGUCGGCACCCCUAGGACCCCUGGGACUCCAGUCUUUCACGCAGUCUCGAAUGUGGCGUCCAAAGAGGCCCUGGAAGCGACAAUCGCCUCGCUACAGAGUGACAUUUCUGAAUCCAAGGCCAGAUGCGCGUCCCUAACCAGCGGAGAAAAUAUGCAGUCCCAGGUGACGCAAAUGAGAGCCUUGAUCUGA